This 460-nucleotide ribosomal RNA is filed under the name uncultured bacterium. RNAcentral describes it as "partial 16S ribosomal RNA". It matches the Rfam family "Bacterial small subunit ribosomal RNA", at positions 338 to 795 of the family's 1533-position model. The record is from RNAcentral.
CCUACGGGAGGCAGCAGUGAGGAAUAUUGGUCAAUGGACGGAAGCCUGAACCAGCCAUGCCGCGUGCAGGAAGACGGCUCUAUGAGUUGUAAACUGCUUUUGUACAAGGGUAAACCUGAAUACGUGUAUUUAGCUGCAAGUACUGUAUGAAUAAGGAUCGGCUAACUCCGUGCCAGCAGCCGCGGUAAUACGGAGGAUCCAAGCGUUAUCCGGAUUUAUUGGGUUUAAAGGGUGCGUAGGCGGUUUGAUAAGUUAGAGGUGAAAUGUCCGGGCUUAACUCGGGAACUGCCUCUAAUACUGUUGAACUGGAGAGUAGAUGCGGUAGGCGGAAUGUAUGGUGUAGCGGUGAAAUGCUUAGAGAUCAUACAGAACACCGAUUGCGAAGGCAGCUUACCAAUCUAUAUCUGACGUUGAGGCACGAAAGCGUGGGGAGCAAACAGGAUUAGAUACCCGUGUAGUC